Molecule: ribosomal RNA, 757 nt
Filed under: uncultured bacterium
Lineage: Bacteria
Description: bacterial SSU rRNA
Rfam family: Bacterial small subunit ribosomal RNA
Source: RNAcentral
AGAGUUUGAUCAUGGCUCAGAAUCAACGCUGGCGGCGCGCUUAACACAUGCAAGUCGAACGAGAAAGGGGAGCAAUCCCUGAGUACAGUGGCGUACGGGUGAGUAACACGUGGAUGAUCUAUCUCUUAGUGGGGAAUAACCCUGGGAAACCGGGGAUAAUACCGCAUAAGCUCGAGAGAGGAAAGCAGCAAUGCGCUGAGAGAGGAGUCCGCGGCCGAUUAGCUAGUUGGUAGGGUAAGAGCCUACCAAGGCAGAGAUCGGUAGCCGGCCUGAGAGGGCACACGGCCACACUGGCACUGAAACACGGGCCAGACUCCUACGGGAGGCAGCAGUGGGGAAUCUUGCACAAUGGGGGAAACCCUGAUGCAGCGACGCCGCGUGAGCGAUGAAGCCCUUCGGGGUGUAAAGCUCUUUCGGCAGGGAAGAUAAUGACGGUACCUGCAGAAGCAGCUGCGGCUAACUACGUGCCAGCAGCCGCGGUAAUACGUAGGCAGCGAGCGUUGUUCGGAGUUACUGGGCGUAAAGGGUGUGUAGGCGGUUGUUUAAGUUUGGUGUGAAAUCUCCCGGCUCAACUGGGAGGGUGCGCCGAAUACUGAAUGACUUGGAGUGCGGGAGAGGAGAGUGGAAUUCCUGGUGUAGCGGUGAAAUGCGUAGAUAUCAGGAGGAACACCGGUGGUGUAGACGGCUCUCUGGACCGUAACUGACGCUGAGACACGAAAGCGUGGGUAGCAAACAGGAUUAGAUACCCUAGUAGUCC